This 120-nucleotide ribosomal RNA is filed under the name Bison bison bison. The record is from RNAcentral. Lineage: Eukaryota; Metazoa; Chordata; Mammalia; Artiodactyla; Bovidae.
AUCUCAGGCCGUAUCAGCCUGAAGGCGCCCGAUCUCGUCUGAUCUCGGAAGCUAAGCAGGGUCGGGCCUGGUUAGGAUCUUGGAUGGGAGACCACCUGGGAAUCCCGGGUGCUCGAGGCU